Molecule: microRNA, 22 nt
Filed under: Kallithea virus
Lineage: Naldaviricetes; Lefavirales; Nudiviridae
Description: mature 5' miRNA
Source: RNAcentral
AUAGUUGUAGUGGCAUUAAUUG